Molecule: long non-coding RNA, 606 nt
Filed under: Pongo abelii (Sumatran orangutan)
Lineage: Eukaryota; Metazoa; Chordata; Mammalia; Primates; Hominidae
Description: lincRNA
Source: RNAcentral
GACUUAGGAUUUGAGCAUCUUUCUGUUAUGCUGUUGCCCCACUCCUAUUGCAAUACUCCCCUUCUUAAGAAAGUUUUUCUAGACUAAUGUCUAGAUUAAACUUCUUUUCUUUGACAAUAAUGAUGCCAUGACUUGGACAAAAUGCCCAUUGCCCCUGGGUCCUGCUUUCUUCACCCGGUGCUGCCUUAUUGGACUCUUUGUGCCUCUCCUUGGCUGGGGAAAUCAGAAUCCACAGUGGCAUCCCACUUCUAAGAUGCCUGAUCUGAAGGACAGUAAAACAACUGACCUUUUCCAGCAUGUCAAACCCAUGGUUUAACUAGUCCUCCAGGAACAACACUGAGCAAUCCUGACCUGGGACUACUUUACUCAGCCAUCUCUUACUUGAGAUUCUCCUUGUCUCUCUGUUCAAGGACACCUUUUCUGAGCCUUUCUUGAACAAGAGUGGAGGACUGAUAGGUUGGUUAAACUGUCCUUGACACAACUUUAGAGCUUCAACUGAGAAUCUAGAAGAGAGUAGAUGGAAAAAUAUUUUUCCCUCCCCUCCAAAUGCAAGAAUAAUCUUACAUGAGUCCAGGAGGAAGGCUCAUUCCACACUAAGUGUUCUGA